GUGUUUGUUUCGGCAGCACACAUACUAAAAUUGGAAUGACACAGAAGAGUAGCAUGGCCCCUGCACGAGGAUCACACACACACACACACACACACACUAAAAUAGA
Molecule: small nuclear RNA, 106 nt
Organism: Mesocricetus auratus (golden hamster)
Lineage: Eukaryota; Metazoa; Chordata; Mammalia; Rodentia; Cricetidae
Source: Ensembl